This 458-nucleotide ribosomal RNA is filed under the name uncultured bacterium. RNAcentral describes it as "partial 16S ribosomal RNA". It matches the Rfam family "Bacterial small subunit ribosomal RNA", at positions 338 to 795 of the family's 1533-position model. The record is from RNAcentral.
CCUACGGGGUGCAGCAGUGGGGAAUAUUGCACAAUGGGGGAAACCCUGAUGCAGCGACGCCGCGUGAGUGAAGAAGUAAUUCGUUACGUAAAGCUCUAUCAGCAGGGAAGAAAUUCUGACCUUACGGUCAGCAGACGGUACCUGAGUAAGAAGCCCCGGCUAACUACGUGCCAGCAGCCGCGGUAAUAGGAAGGGGGCAAGCUUUAACCGGAGUGACUGGGUGUAAAGGGAGCGUAGACGGUGAGGCAAGUCUGGAGGGAAAUGCCGCCGCUUAACUGCGGAACUGCUUUGGAAACUGGCGAACUGGAGUGAGGGAGGGGUAAGCGGAAUACCGAGUGUAGCGGUGAAAUGCGUAGAUAUUAGGAGGAACACCGGUGGCGAAGGCGGCUUACUGGACCGUAACUGACGUUGAGGCUCGAAGGCGUGGGGAGCAAACAGGAUUAGAUACCCGUGUAGUC